UUAUUCAUUUAUUAUAUAUAAGUACACUGUUGCUGUCUUCAGACACACUGGAAGAGGGCAUUGGAUCUCUUUACAGAUGGUUGUGAGCCACCGGUUACUGGGAUUUGAACUCAGGACCUCUGGAAGAGCAGUCGGGUGCUCUUAGCCACUGAGCCAUCUCUCCAGCCCCUGGUGGAGGCAUUUACCUUAUUCACUCUAUGGCCUGAGCAUGGUGGGACAACAGUGAGACCAAACAAAUACUAGGACUGCAGAAAUCCUUUCAGAGUACUUCCUGCUCCUGCAAAAGACCCUGGUUCGAUUCCUGGAACUUAAGGAUAGUGCCAUAUCCAACACCCUCUUCUGGUCCUCCCCUCCAGCACCAGACGUACACAUAAAUGAAUAUGGGUAGAACAUGCAUAGACAUAAAAUACUUCUUU
This 416-nucleotide long non-coding RNA is filed under the name Rattus norvegicus (Norway rat). RNAcentral describes it as "long non-coding RNA NONRATT014148". Lineage: Eukaryota; Metazoa; Chordata; Mammalia; Rodentia; Muridae. The record is from RNAcentral.